UAGGCCGCCCGAAUUCCCAUGACCCUUACAUAUCACUGUCCAGAGUAGGCUCCAUGGGAGUAAUGAUCCUGACAUAAAUGCCGGCCAUCCGCCACACUAAGCAAGCAUGGGGGCACAGGAAUAGGAUAUGAUCAACUGUCUCCUCCUCCAACCCACAGGAUAGAUAUGUCGUUAGAAGAUCCAUGCCUCUAGCUCACAGAACCAUCCUAGUCGGGAGCCAGUGCCAAGCUACUUUUUAAAUGAAUAGGCUAAC
RNAcentral lists this long non-coding RNA (253 nucleotides) under Elaeis guineensis (African oil palm). Its description in RNAcentral is "long non-coding RNA (EGUI_LNC008896)". Lineage: Eukaryota; Viridiplantae; Streptophyta; Magnoliopsida; Arecales; Arecaceae. The record is from RNAcentral.